This 484-nucleotide ribosomal RNA is filed under the name uncultured bacterium. Its description in RNAcentral is "partial 16S ribosomal RNA". It matches the Rfam family "Bacterial small subunit ribosomal RNA", at positions 30 to 507 of the family's 1533-position model. The record is from RNAcentral.
AUUGAACGCUGGCGGCAGGCCUAACACAUGCAAGUCGAGCGGAUGAAGGGAGCUUGCUCCUGGAUUCAGCGGCGGACGGGUGAGUAAUGCCUAGGAAUCUGCCUGGUAGUGGGGGAUAACGUCUGGAAACGGGCGCUAAUACCGCAUACGUCCUGAGGGAGAAAGUGGGGGGUCUUCGGACCUCACGCUAUCAGAUGAGCCUAGGUCGGAUUAGCUAGUUGGUGGGGUAAAGGCCUACCAAGGCGACGAUCCGUAACUGGUCUGAGAGGAUGAUCAGUCACACUGGAACUGAGACACGGACCAGACUCCUACGGGAGGCAGCAGUGGGGAAUAUUGGACAAUGGGCGAAAGCCUGAUCCAGCCAUGCCGCGUGUGUGAAGAAGGUCCUCGGAUUGUAAAGCACUUUAAGUUGGGAGGAAGGGCAGUAAGUUAAUACCUUGCUGUUUUGACGUUACCAACAGAAUAAGCACCGGCUAACUUCGUG